CCCUUAGAUGUUCUGGGCUGCACGCGCGCUACACUGAUGCGCUCAACGAGUUUAUGACCUUGCCCGGAAGGGUUGGGUAAUCUUCUUAAAACGCAUCGUGAUGGGGAUAGAUUAUUGCAAUUAUUAAUCUUCAACGAGGAAUUCCUAGUAAGCGCGAGUCAUCAGCUCGUGCUGAUUACGUCCCUGCCCUUUGUACACACCGCCCGUCGCUACUACCGAUUGAGUGAUCCGGUGAAUAAUUCGGACUGCAGCAGUGUUCGGUCACGAACGUUGCAGCGGAAAGUUUAGUGAACCUUAUCACUUAGAGGAAGGAGAAGUCGUAACA
Molecule: ribosomal RNA, 325 nt
Filed under: uncultured eukaryote
Lineage: Eukaryota
Description: partial 18S ribosomal RNA
Rfam family: Eukaryotic small subunit ribosomal RNA
Source: RNAcentral